AGGCAGAAAAUGCUGAAUCCUUUCACAAGACCUAGACAGAGAAAAUCAAGUGGACCCUUUUCAUUUUACCUUAUGCGCGCCAUCCAGAGAAAGAUUUGACAGAAAUAUCACGAACCGCACUCUUUGCCCAUAUGGUAAAAAGGGAACCUAGACUGGCAUCUGUCAAAGCUGGAAGGCAGAGGUCUUUACCAUCUGCCGCCUGCAGUCUGCACCUACAAAUCCGUGCGUACAAACAAGGUGGUGGAGUCAUGUUAUCUGUUAUCAUUACUGCACAUCAACACUGGAGCCAGCAACUGCCAGGUGAACCUAAUGGUAGAUGCGAAACAAGAUCAUUAUGCGAAAACCGACGAACGGCUAACCUUCACCCACUCUCCCACCAUCAUCACUCAAGACCGCGGUUCUUUCACACUUUUUCCCGACAACACUUCGUCCGCAUCUCGAUGCAGGUUCACGUCUUCCCGUCUUCAAACCCACUGCUAAACCGCUGUGGUCAAACAGGAAGACAUUGUGCGCGCGUGUGUGGUCCAGGGUCUGCAGACAAGGUAAGAAGGCUAACAGAGUGAUUAUGUGUGUGUUUCUCGAGCAUGCGCAUAAAUUAUCAGCACCUGGCAACAGAACUACAAAGACAAAAAGCAGAAAAACAGUCCAAUGUAUUUAAAGAAACACCCCAAUAAAAUUAUGUAGAUAUGUCCUAGACCU
Long non-coding RNA from Pomacea canaliculata, 699 nucleotides. RefSeq lists it as uncharacterized. The transcript is spliced from 4 exons. The record is from RefSeq and is a predicted model, not a curated record. Lineage: Eukaryota; Metazoa; Mollusca; Gastropoda; Architaenioglossa; Ampullariidae.